GCGGCGGCUAUACAUGCAAGUCGAACGAUACCAGAGAGCUUGCUUUCUGGGAAAGUGGCGCACGGGUGCGUAACGCGUAUGCAACCUACCUUUAUCAGGGGGAUAGCCUCUCGAAAGAGAGAUUAACACCGCAUAAAAUCAAAGAACGGCAUCGUUCAAUGAUCAAAUAUUUAUAGGAUAAAGAUGGGCAUGCGUGACAUUAGCUAGUUGGUGAGGUAACGGCUCACCAAGGCGACGAUGUCUAGGGGAUCUGAGAGGAUGACCCCCCACACUGGUACUGAGACACGGACCAGACUCCUACGGGAGGCAGCAGUAAGGAAUAUUGGUCAAUGGAGGCAACUCUGAACCAGCCAUGCCGCGUGCAGGAAGACGGCCCUAUGGGUUGUAAACUGCUUUUAUUCGGGAAUAAACCCUUUUACGUGUAAGAGGUUGAAUGUACCGAAAGAAUAAGGAUCGGCUAACUCCGUGCCAGGAGCCGCGGUAAUACGGAGGAUCCAAGCGUUAUCCGGAUUUCUUGGGCUUAAAGGGUGCGUAGGUGGAUUAUUAAGUCAGGGG
Molecule: ribosomal RNA, 555 nt
Filed under: uncultured bacterium
Lineage: Bacteria
Description: bacterial SSU rRNA
Rfam family: Bacterial small subunit ribosomal RNA
Source: RNAcentral